GUACACUCCUGCGGGAGGCAGCAGUGGGGAAUUUUGGACAAUGGGCGAAAGCCUGAUCCAGCAAUGCCGCGUGUGUGAAGAAGGCCUUCGGGUUGUAAAGCACUUUUGUCCGGAAAGAAAUCCUUGGCUCUAAUACAGUCGGGGGAUGACGGUACCGGAAGAAUACGCACCGGCUAACUACGUGCCAGCAGCCGCGGUAAUACGUAGGGUGCGAGCGUUAAUCGGAAUUACUGGGCGUAAAGCGUGCGCAGGCGGUUUGCUAAGACCGAUGUGAAAUCCCCGGGCUCAACCUGGGAACUGCAUUGGUGACUGGCAGGCUAGAGUAUGGCAGAGGGGGGUAGAAUUCCACGUGUAGCAGUGAAAUGCGUAGAGAUGUGGAGGAAUACCGAUGGCGAAGGCAGCCCCCUGGGCCAAUACUGACGCUCAUGCACGAAAGCGUGGGGAGCAAACAGGAUUAGAAACCCCGGUAGUCCCAUG
RNAcentral lists this ribosomal RNA (477 nucleotides) under uncultured organism. RNAcentral's name for it is "partial 16S ribosomal RNA". It matches the Rfam family "Bacterial small subunit ribosomal RNA", at positions 331 to 799 of the family's 1533-position model. The record is from RNAcentral.